GCCCGGAUGGUCUAGUGGUAUGAUUCUCGCUUCGGGGCAUUUUUAUUAGCUCUAAACUGCGAGAGGUCCCGCGUUCGAAUCGCGGUUCGGGCC
This is a non-coding RNA of Monascus purpureus, 93 nucleotides long. The record is from the annotation of a GenBank genome assembly. NCBI's taxonomy places the organism in Eukaryota, Fungi, Ascomycota, Eurotiomycetes, Eurotiales, Aspergillaceae.